Molecule: RNA transcript, 723 nt
Organism: Stegodyphus dumicola
Lineage: Eukaryota; Metazoa; Arthropoda; Arachnida; Araneae; Eresidae
Gene name: histone H1E-like
Source: RefSeq, a predicted model, not a curated record
UGAAAUCAAGAUGGUUUAAAUGUAAAUUUCUGCAGUGAAGUGCUAGCUGGAUCUGGAUCGAUAUAUUUGAUUUCUAAAAUCACCCUAGGGCUCUCUAUUCAUGGCAGGAUGCUUUCAUGGAAGAUAUUCUAAGGAAAUCUUAACACAAAUUUACAUGAGAAAAAGCAUGGAAACUUAUUUUUUUACAAGAAAAUUGUAUUUAUGUAAGUGUUGGUUGAUAUGUCGCAAGUAAUGUUGUUAUUCAAAACUUGUAACAAACAGUAAGGACAUGAAGAAAAAUUAAAACAGACAUUGUUUUUUAAGAUUCUAAGUUUUGUAAUUUAAUCAAUAACAUACACAACUCAUAACAAUUCAUAUAUAUGAUUAGACAAAAAACUGUACAAAUUUUUAUAUUUCUUGUACUCUGUAAAAUAUUUUGCAAGUAGAUUUUGACAGAUUGUCACUGCUGUUAUAUAAUAUUAUAUUUGAUCCUUUUGCAGCUCUUUACAGCACUUUUAUGAAACUGCUGUUGGGAUGUGCUCAUACAAAAAUUUAUAUAUGUUUUAAGAGCUCAUACCAUAAGAUUAUUUUUCUUUUGAAGAGGUAUUGUCAAUAUUCCUAUACUCUCAUACAAUAAGCUCAUUCAUUUUUUUUUUUUUUUUUACAUGUUUUAAAACUCUACUGCAGCUGACACUUUUACAAUAUUUUACUCUCAAGUUUAAUAAUUCUCUUUUUUUUUUAUAA